GACGAACGCUGGCGGCGUGCUUAACACAUGCAAGUCGAACGGUAAGGCCCCAGCUUGCUGGGGUACACGAGUGGCGAACGGGUGAGUAACACGUGGGUGACCUGCCCCGCACUUCGGGAUAAGCCUGGGAAACUGGGUCUAAUACCGGAUAGGACCGCACCGUGAAGGUGUGGUGGAAAGUUUUUCGGUGUGGGAUGGGCCCGCGGCCUAUCAGCUUGUUGGUGGGGUAAUGGCCUACCAAGGCGGCGACGGGUAGCCGGCCUGAGAGGGUGGACGGCCACAUUGGGACUGAGACACGGCCCAGACUCCUACGGGAGGCAGCAGUGGGGAAUAUUGCACAAUGGGCGGAAGCCUGAUGCAGCGACGCCGCGUGGGGGAUGACGGCCUUCGGGUUGUAAACUCCUUUCACCAUCGACGAAGGUUUUCUGACGGUAGAUGGAGAAGAAGCACCGGCUAACUACGUG
Molecule: ribosomal RNA, 464 nt
Filed under: uncultured bacterium
Lineage: Bacteria
Description: partial 16S ribosomal RNA
Rfam family: Bacterial small subunit ribosomal RNA
Source: RNAcentral